GACGAACGCUGGCGGCGUGCUUAACACAUGCAAGUCGAACGGAAAGGCCCUGCCUUCGUGGGGUGCUCGAGUGGCGAACGGGUGAGUAACACGUGAGUAACCUGCCCUUGACUUUGGGAUAACUUCAGGAAACUGGGGCUAAUACCGGAUAGGAGCUCCUGCUGCAUGGUGGGGGUUGGAAAGUUUCGGCGGUUGGGGAUGGACUCGCGGCUUAUCAGCUUGUUGGUGGGGUAGUGGCUUACCAAGGCUUUGACGGGUAGCCGGCCUGAGAGGGUGACCGGCCACAUUGGGACUGAGAUACGGCCCAGACUCCUACGGGAGGCAGCAGUGGGGAAUAUUGCACAAUGGGCGGAAGCCUGAUGCAGCAACGCCGCGUGCGGGAUGACGGCCUUCGGGUUGUAAACCGCUUUCGCCUGUGACGAAGCGUGAGUGACGGUAAUGGGUAAAGAAGCACCGGCUAACUACGUG
This 468-nucleotide ribosomal RNA is filed under the name uncultured bacterium. RNAcentral's name for it is "partial 16S ribosomal RNA". It matches the Rfam family "Bacterial small subunit ribosomal RNA", at positions 28 to 507 of the family's 1533-position model. The record is from RNAcentral.